Molecule: small nucleolar RNA, 222 nt
Organism: Cynocephalus volans (Philippine flying lemur)
Lineage: Eukaryota; Metazoa; Chordata; Mammalia; Dermoptera; Cynocephalidae
Product: small nucleolar RNA ZL1
Exons: 1
Source: RefSeq, a predicted model, not a curated record
GGAGGAGCAAAGUGAUGAGCAAGACUGGCUAGAGCCCCAAAGAGGCACAUUUGUGUGUGUAUCUGUGUGUAUUUUUGUAUGUGUCCUUGUGUGUAUCUGUAUCCUUGUCUGUGCAUGCACACCUGUGUCUGGGAGUACAAAUGUGUGUGACUGGUUAUAGGGAGCUAGCUAUGUGCCUUCUGUUGGGCUAUGACAGUCAAACUGAUAAGAUCUGAUUGCUUC